RNAcentral lists this ribosomal RNA (489 nucleotides) under uncultured bacterium. Its description in RNAcentral is "partial 16S ribosomal RNA". It matches the Rfam family "Bacterial small subunit ribosomal RNA", at positions 28 to 507 of the family's 1533-position model. The record is from RNAcentral.
GACGAACGCUGGCGGCGUGCUUAACACAUGCAAGUCGAACGGUGAAGGGAUCAGCUUGCUGGUUCUGGAUGAGUGGCGAACGGGUGAGUAACACGUGAGUAACCUGCCCCCUUCUUCUGGAUAACCGCAUGAAAGUGUGGCUAAUACGGGAUAUUCUGGGUCUGUCGCAUGAUGGGUCUGGGAAAGAUAUUGUUUCGGUGGGGGAUGGGCUCGCGGCCUAUCAGCUUGUUGGUGGGGUGAUGGCCUACCAAGGCGGUGACGGGUAGCCGGCCUGAGAGGGUGGACGGUCACACUGGGACUGAGACACGGCCCAGACUCCUACGGGAGGCAGCAGUGGGGAAUAUUGCACAAUGGGCGCAAGCCUGAUGCAGCGACGCCGCGUGAGGGAUGGAGGCCUUCGGGUUGUAAACCUCUUUCGCCAGUGAAGCAGGCCUGCUCAUUGUGGGUGGGUUGACGGUAGCUGGAUAAGAAGCGCCGGCUAACUACGUG